CAGAGUUGCAAAACUCCCAACCCUUUGUGAACGUAACCUACAGUUGCCUUCGGCGGGAGCUCCUCAGGAGCGGACCGCCGGAGGAAUCCAAACUCUUUGCAUUUAUAGUCAUCUCUGAUUACUUAUCAAUAAGUUA
This 136-nucleotide unclassified non-coding RNA is filed under the name soil metagenome. RNAcentral's name for it is "partial internal transcribed spacer 1". The record is from RNAcentral.